UUGUUCGGAAAAUUUAAACCCUAUUUUUUAUUUUAUAAACUAUUUAAAUUUUUUAAAAAAAUUUACAAAAAUAAUACUAUAAGGAUCACCACCGUAAAAAGAAAAAAUUGAAAAAAUAUUCUUGCACCUAUUACUUAUUACAUACAGUGUAAUAAAUAUUUGUCAUUUAUAUUUUAAAGUAAAACCAUAUCAGUCUGGUUAAGAUUAGCUAUAUUGUAUGUGUCGAAUCAUUUUCUAAUUAACAAUUUUCAACAAACUAUAUUGAGCCGUACGCUAAGUCGUCUAUCUUUAUAGUAUAAAAAUAAUAUAAAUACAUGAACAAACAUUCCCUUCCUUGCUACAUUUUCUCACUACUUUGCUUUUUGUCCUCAAAUUUUCUCCUCUCCGCUCAAUGUACCAUUCAGUCUUCCUUUCAUACGAAUGGUUCAGGAAUGAUCAUCGAAUUUUUGCAAACAAUAUUAUGUAAUUAAAGAGAGCUAUUUCAUGCGAAUCCUGCUAUGGUUGGAUUAAGGUAGAGUCUUAAUUGGAUUCACAUAUCACGAAGCUGCAACGAUCGUGAUCGAGAUGGAAGGAGUUUAUGCCAACAAGAAGCAAACUAACCAGAUGAAAAAGAUAAUUUCACCUUGAGAACGGUACGUAUACCAGUUUAUUAUAUCUAUAUUUUUUAUUUGCUAGUUUGUUUGUGUGGUAUACUCAUUUGGUAAUAUAUCUUAUUACUAUGAAAUGCACACUAGAUAGUUGGUUUUAAAGGCAUUUUAUUUUAGGUGUUCCAUUGUAGUUCCUAUUUAAUCCUUAAAAAAAAAAAAAUAAUAUUUGUGCAAAACUGCUAAGAGAAAUAUUGACUUCCCAACAUCUAUUAACUAUAUUUAAUCUCAUCAAAAAGGACAACUCUUAUACAUGAUGUAUGAUUUUUAAAAAAAAAAUUAAACAACACUAAUAUAUGAAUUGGCUGAGCAUAAAAUUCACAAUCAUAAUAUAUAAGUUAAUUUAACUAUAAACUUACCAGAUAUGUAAUCAGGAAAUUAAAAUUAAAAAUCAAUGAGAUUCAAAUAAAUAAGAUAUAUAUCCUUUUUUCUACAUAGGAAACCUUAGUUGUUGAUUAAUUAUGAUGAAUAUACGUACAUUGCCCCGUUUAGAAAAAUAUAUAUCUAUACAAAUACAGUUACUUAAAGAGGAAAAAGAAAAUUGAACGAAACAAAGAAAAUAAAUUCUAUGACUGUGGAAUUACUAAUACUAAUAAAUACAUUUAAACUCACCUUUUUAUUCAUCCAAACAUGUGAUUUGAUUUCUAUUAUAUAUAAAUAUUAUAUAUAAUUAAUUGAAAUGCAAACUUAUUCUACGUUUAUAACUAUAUGAUAAAGUUGCAAGAUUGCCUAAAGCCUUAAAAUAUUAAAUCUUGUGUGUUUCGAUCAUAUAUAUAUUCCUGAAAUGUCAAUCAAACAGUAUAUGCAGUUACACUUAAUAAUUGAUCAAUGUCAACCACAUAUAUUACUUUAGAUGUUGAAAUGAGAUAUAAUGUGUUAUCAAGUUAAUGAUGUCAAUAUGUUCAAAAAAAAAGUUAAUGAUGUCAAUAAAAAUUAAUGCGAAUCAUGAUCUAAUGGAAUAAAAUCAUAUAUGCAUGUAAACAUCAUUAGUGUUUUUCAAUUAAAUGAUCAUAUGAUUAAUGUUCCCUUUGAAAAAUCAAAAACUGCUGUACUAUACUGUUCCUCGUGGAGGAGGUGGUUUCGUGGUCCAUGUGUAGUAUCUAGAAGUGGGUAUCUAAGAACAAAAGCAAGAAAUGACAUAAAUAUAAAUAUAUAUAUAUAUAUAUACAUAUAAAUAUGUAUUUUGAGAGAGAGACCCAAGGGGAGAGUGGUUUUGGAUAAGGUAGGAUGGACAUUGAUUGAAAAGGCCAGUCUUUGCUGCAAAUUUUUUGUACAAUUAUAAUUGGAUUAAUGCAUUAAAAUCUAAGGAAAUUAAUAUGUGGUGAAUGCUCACUCUUAAAGAAGAUUGUUACUGCAUUAAUAAUGUCCAAGAAAUACAAUUUAAAACUAAAACUAAUCACAAAAUUAAAAUUAGAAUUUAAUUGAAAUUAGACAAAGAAAAACUUAACUUGAAAAUGAAUGAAUCAUGAAUCUUUAUUGCUUGAAUAGUCAGUAGUAUACAAAUGAGUAUGUCCAAGAAUAAAACUCAACACAAUGAAUGAUUACAAAGAGAUGUCUUACAUUAAGGAAAAUUACUUCAAGAGUGAUACUCCCAUUAUAUCCCUUCACAUACUCACUCACUAUGAUAUUAGACUUUUUCUCUCUAAACUUGAAUUUGAAUCUAAAGUAUGAGUCUUGGAGAUUAGAGAUCAGAACUCAGAACUCCCUUUAAGAAUAGAGGAACACCUAUUUAUAGUUGUUGGUGUGGUUCCCUUUAAGUUGCUAUUAAAGUCAACUGUUAUAACUAAUAAUAGUUUCUUCAGAUUCAUCUGAUGAGCAAAUAAACUUACCGACUUGACAGGUUAAAUAAGUUUAAUCCCGACAUAAUAUGUAUAAACUUAGAAGUUUAAUGUAAUCUCUCACCUAAGAAUGAGGUGGAGAUAUAUAUGAUCUCUAAAAAUAGAUUCUUGCAUAAGUUUUACUAUUAUAAAAUUGGCUUUCUUUUUUAUAUUAUUUUCUAUCAAUUCCUAAGACUGUUGGUGUUGUGAUAUUUUUAAUACGCAAGUGUACGUAUCGUAACAAGUAAUAGAUUCAUCAAGAGUGAGGUCGAUCUAAUGUACAAGGAUUGUAGUUAAGUAUUUUAAAAUUAAAUCUUUACUUCUAUUUAGUUAAUUCAAAAUUUAAAAAAAAAAAUUAAAUUUAAGAACACUAAAGAGACAGUAAAAUUAAAAAACAAGUAAUUCAAAGAGAAAUUAACAAUGAUUAAAGUUAGGGCUUCGAUUUCAAUUGUAUUUAUUGAUUAUGGCCUAAUAUGAUUAUCUUCCUAUUACCAAUAUCUAUGCAAUAGCAUUUACUAAGAUAAUUUAUAGUCUUAUCAAAUAUAUAAAUCUCAAUUAUAUGUAAAUUUUCUACUCUCGUGAUAAAUUAAACAUGCAACAAGCAUUAAACACAGAAACCCUAUAAAUUAUCUAAGCUAUACAGGUACUCUUCUCCUAUAUCGAAAUUCAGUUCAAUCUCACUAUAGCAUAAUUGACACUCACUUUUCAGAUCUCGUAUCAAAAUCAUAGACAGUUAAUUAGUAAUCAGGCAAUUAAAAGAAAUUAAGUACAAAUGAAAUAGAAUACAUAGAAACUGAGGGAAAAUAAAUCAUACUAAAAUCAUAAAACAAUGUAAACAACAUCCAUCUAAACCCUAAUUAAGUGUUUAGUCAAUCAUGUUCAUGGAAGCAAGAUCACACAUGCUAACUAAAGAAAAGAGAAGAAAUAGAAAAUAAAAGAAUGUUGAAAAUCCUUUGAAGAAUGCCUCCAGUAUUGCAGUUGAUUUCUGAAAUUCAUACUAUAUCUUCUGCUAUUUAUUUCCUCCCAAAUUGCUUGCUCAAAAAUAUUGAAGUCCACUUCUGUUAUAGCCAAAAAAAAUGAUAAAAUAAAAUAAAAAAAACGCUGAAAAAAAACAUAUUCUGCUUAGGAUUAGAAAAUUUAUUCUGCUUGAGUUUUCUACUGCGUUGACUGAUAGUAUUUUGACCAUAACUCUCUCGAUAUUGCUCAGAAUCGGACAAUUCAAGAUGUUCCAAAAAGAUAAAAGAGAGAUCUAGAACUUUUAUGUUUUAACUUUCUCCAAAUCUAAUCAGAUCAUAGUCAAAUUUAGGCUUGAAAUUUCAGCUUUAUUUUUUAGCACAAUUUUCUCUAUUUUAUAGUUCAUCUUUUUGUGAGAUCUUUUUAUCUUUUUUCCAUCUUAUUCCUUUGAAAUUUUUUUUAAUCUUCUUCUAUUUUAAAUCUGCAAAAAUAAAAGAUAAAAAGCGUAAAAUUACUUCAAACAAGAGUAGAACUAAAUUAAAAAUACACUAAAAAUUAAUCUAAAAAUAACCUAACAAACUUCCCCAAACUAAACUUUUACUUGUCCUCGAAUAAAACACUAAAGCGAAAAAUAAAAGUUAAACAAGUCAACCUAGAACGUGAGUAAUUUUUAAAGUAAGCUCAAUAACAUGAUUAUAAAAAAUUUCACUUAUGCAUACAAUCCAGAAUUUCAAUUCAAUUACACCCUUGACAUACUUCAACUUAUUUUCAUUCAGCUCAUGAAACAAUAGAAUGCAAUUAACUAACAAUUAAAUCACUUUAUGCAUGCCAAUUUCAACCAUUAAUCCACUAACUCAAAAUUUCAUAUGCUUGCAAUACUUACUAUUCUCCACUAAUAUUAAUUAAUGCACAACUAAUAAUCAAAAGGUCUUUCUAGACUUGUAGUGUUAGGCUUAGGUAAGAGUAGAUUAAAUGAUCAUUUAGGCUUGCCUAUACCGUAAGCUUCUUCAAUCAUGUCAUCCAAAUAUUUUUUUCACACACAAUCACAAUACCUCUUUCUUCUAAUUACAUGAGAGAAUUUUUUUUUUCACAAGAUUGCAGCAACUUUAUAUUGAUUUUUUUUUCCUGAAUUUGACACUGGUUGUCAGAUUUUUUUUCUUUUCAAGUUGUUGUCAAUCUAAUUUUUUUUUAUAUAUUCUCUUAAUUUUCACACUUUUUCCGUCACACAUACAACAAACUUUCCAUCCAAAUUCCUCCAAACUAAAAAUUUACUUAUGGUAUAAUUAGAGUUAAAUCCUUAGAUAUUCAUGGGUUUAUCUUUUUUAGGCUCAUAAUGUGUAGAAACAAAGAACAUGUUAAGACUCAAAAAGGGUAAGUAGGAUAAAAUUACAUGGAUGACUUGAAAGGCACAAUCGAUCCAAAAAAAUACCUAAAUCACUUUUCUAGUCAUGCAUAAUGUAUUAUUUCGCCUCAAAUAGCAAGCAAGUUCUAGAAUUUAUCAAACAACUUUCCACAUGUCCCAAUUAGCAUACAUAAACUAAUUUAAUUACUAAAAAAUUACCUAAUAUGAUUCUAUGUUCUUUUAAAGCACAAAAUUAAAAUUAGUCAAGAGUAUAACACCACCAAGCACACCGAUUUUUUGAAAAAUAAAUUAACUUUUUAAAUCAUACUAUCUACCUACUUUUAAAGUGACUCACAUUAAGCAAAUUGACUCACAACA
Molecule: long non-coding RNA, 5135 nt
Organism: Cannabis sativa
Lineage: Eukaryota; Viridiplantae; Streptophyta; Magnoliopsida; Rosales; Cannabaceae
Exons: 3
Source: RefSeq, a predicted model, not a curated record